RNAcentral lists this ribosomal RNA (492 nucleotides) under uncultured bacterium. RNAcentral describes it as "partial 16S ribosomal RNA". It matches the Rfam family "Bacterial small subunit ribosomal RNA", at positions 29 to 507 of the family's 1533-position model. The record is from RNAcentral.
AGUGAACGCUGGCGGUAGGCCUAACACAUGCAAGUCGAACGGCAGCACAGUAAGAGCUUGCUCUUACGGGUGGCGAGUGGCGGACGGGUGAGGAAUACAUCGGAAUCUACUUUUUCGUGGGGGAUAACGUAGGGAAACUUACGCUAAUACCGCAUACGACCUACGGGUGAAAGCAGGGGAUCUUCGGACCUUGCGCGAUUGAAUGAGCCGAUGUCGGAUUAGCUAGUUGGCGGGGUAAAGGCCCACCAAGGCGACGAUCCGUAGCUGGUCUGAGAGGAUGAUCAGCCACACUGGAACUGAGACACGGUCCAGACUCCUACGGGAGGCAGCAGUGGGGAAUAUUGGACAAUGGGCGCAAGCCUGAUCCAGCCAUACCGCGUGGGUGAAGAAAGCCUUGGGGUUGUAAAGCCCUUUUGUUGGGAAAGAAAAGCAGCAGGUUAAUACCCCGCUGUUCUGACGGUACCCAAAGAAUAAGCACCGGCUAACUUCGUG